UGGGGAAUUUUGGACAAUGGGCGAAAGCCUGAUCCAGCAAUGCCGCGUGUGUGAAGAAGGCCUUCGGGUUGUAAAGCACUUUUGUCCGGAAAAGAAAAUCCUUGGCUCUAAUACAGUCGGGGGAUGACGGUACCGGAAGAAUAAGCACCGGCUAACUACGUGCCAGCAGCCGCGGUAAUACGUAGGGUGCAAGCGUUAAUCGGAAUUACUGGGCGUAAAGCGUGCGCAGGCGGUUUGCUAAGACCGAUGUGAAAUCCCCGGGCUCAACCUGGGAACUGCAUUGGUGACUGGCAGGCUAGAGUAUGGCAGAGGGGGGUAGAAUUCCACGUGUAGCAGUGAAAUGCGUAGAGAUGUGGAGGAAUACCGAUGGCGAAGGCAGCCCCCUGGGCCAAUACUGACGCUCAUGCACGAAAGCGUGGGGAGCAAACAGGAUUAGAUACCCUGGUAGUCCACGCCCUAAACGAUGUCAACUAGUUGUUGGGGAUUCAUUUCCUUAGUAACGUAGCUAACGCGUGAAGUUGACCGCCUGGGGAGUACGGUCGCAAGAUUAAAACUCAAAUGAAUUGACGGGGUCAUAGCUGUUUCCU
RNAcentral lists this ribosomal RNA (587 nucleotides) under uncultured bacterium. Its description in RNAcentral is "partial 16S ribosomal RNA". It matches the Rfam family "Bacterial small subunit ribosomal RNA", at positions 355 to 1375 of the family's 1533-position model. The record is from RNAcentral.